Molecule: unclassified non-coding RNA, 299 nt
Filed under: plant metagenome
Description: partial contains small subunit ribosomal RNA, internal transcribed spacer 1, and 5.8S ribosomal RNA
Source: RNAcentral
UUUCCGUAGGUGAACCUGCGGAAGGAUCAUUAACGAAUAACUAUGGUGUCUUGGUUGUAGCUGGCUCCUCGGAGCAAUGUGCACGCCCGCCAUUUUCAUCUUUCCACCUGUGCACCGACUGUAGGUCUGGAUGACUCUCGCACUCCGGUGCGGAUGCGAGGAUUGCUCUCGGGCUCUCCUCGAAUUUCCAGGCUCUACGUCUUUUUACACACCCCAAACGUAUGAUACAGAAUGUAGUCAAUGGGCUUGAUCGCCUAUAAAACACUAUACAACUUUCAGCAACGGAUCUCUUGGCUCUC